AGUCUGGUGCCAGCAGCCGCGGUAAUUCCAGCUCCGCAAGUGUAUAUCUAUGUUGCUGCGGUUAAAAAGCUCGUAGUUGGAUCUGCGUGUUUAGCGUCCGGUUCGACUUUUGGUCGUUACUGGAACGCGACACAGAUGUGCUGGUUUGCCGUUGAUGCUCUUAACCGGGUGUCAGUGGCGGCUAGCGAGUUUACUUUGAAAAAAUUAGAGUGCUCAAAACAGGCGUUUCGCCUGAAUAUUUCUGCAUGGAAUAAUAGAAUAGGACUUCGAUUCCAUUCUGUUGGUUUUCGGAAUGCGAAGUAAUGAUUAAGAGGGACAGACGGGGGCAUUCGUACUGCGACGUUAGAGGUGAAAUUCUUGGAUCGUCGCAAGACGUACUACUGCGAAGGCAUUUGCCAAGAAUGUUUUCAUUAAUCAAGAACGAAAGUUAUGGGUUCGAAGGCGAUCAGAUACCGCCCUAGUCAUAACCGUAAACGAUUCAAACUGGGCGCCCGACGGUGUUUUUAUUAACCCGUCGGGAACCCUCCCGGAAACGAAAGUGUUCGUGUUCCGGGGGAAAUAUGUCUGCAAAGAGGAAACUUAAAGGAAUUGACGGAAGGGCACCACCAGGGGUGGAGCCUGCGGCUUAAUUUGACCCAACACGGGGAAACUCACCCGGCCCGGACACCGUAAGGAUUGACAGAUUGAGAGCUCUUUCUUGAUUCGGUGGGUGGUGGUGCAUGGCCGUUCUUAGUUGGUGGAGUGAUUUGUCUGGUUUAUUCCGAUAACGAACGAGACUCUGGCCUGCUAACUAGUGUUCACAUCUUUACGUGUGCUUCGCUUCUUAGAGGGACAGGCGGCUUCCAGCCGCAUGAAGAAGAGCAAUAACAGGUCUGUGAUGCCCUUAGAUGUCCGGGGCUGCACGCGCGCUACACUGAAAGAAUCAGCGUGUACGUUACCUGGCUCGAAAGAGUCGGGUAAUCCGGUGAAAAUCUUUCGUGAUUGGGAUCGGGACUUGCAAUUAUUUCCCUUGAACGAGGAAUCCCUAGUAAGUGCGGGUCAUCAGCUCGCGCUGAUUACGUCCCUGCCCUUUGUACACACCGCCCGUCGCUGCCCGGAACUGAGCCGUUUCGAGAAAAAUGGGGACUGUCUACUUGAGGUCUUCACGGACUUUUUGUAAAUGGAAACCGCUU
RNAcentral lists this ribosomal RNA (1172 nucleotides) under metagenome. Its description in RNAcentral is "SSU rRNA". It matches the Rfam family "Eukaryotic small subunit ribosomal RNA", at positions 558 to 1759 of the family's 1831-position model. The record is from RNAcentral.